Olea europaea var. sylvestris is the source of this 934-nucleotide long non-coding RNA. RefSeq lists it as uncharacterized. The transcript has 3 exons. Lineage: Eukaryota; Viridiplantae; Streptophyta; Magnoliopsida; Lamiales; Oleaceae. The record is from RefSeq and is a predicted model, not a curated record.
UGCAGGGCAGAAAGCGGUCCUGAUUCUAAGUGGCCCAAAAUUUCUCAUAUUCCUCAUGUGUCUAUGUAGAAGAUUGGUGAAGUUUGGUGUUCCAGUUGUGAUGAAGAAGAGCAUCCACCCUCAACAACUUGAUACUCAUUUAUUGUCCUAUCAAUUCCUAAUUUUAUUUGGAUCUUCGUCAACUUUACUAUUGUAUUAGAUUUGUCACAUAUUCAAGAUGGAAGUAUAGAUGAGGAUUUCAGAUAUUAUUGACAUUGGUCUUUCUGUAAGUAUAUUUCAGCUUUGAAUAUUGACUUAUUUUACAUUUAUUUUGUUUAAUUACAAUUUGAAUUGAUGCUCAUUCAAUCCCCUAUCGAGUCUUAAUUCUAUUUGAAUCUUGUUCAACUUUACUUUCGUAAGAAUUAUAUUAUUAUCAUAACAAAAACAUUAUUAUUAUUUGAACUAUCAUUAAUUAAUAUCUUGGAGCAUACGGAGGAGGUGAAAGUAAGCUAUUUCCUUUGCAACUUGGAGGGGUUGAUUUGUCCAAUCUAGAAAGAGUGUGAAUUAUCUUUAGCCUCUGAGUAUAUUAUAAAUUAAUUACAGGAAAAAUCAACUUCAAUAAUUGUAGCAACACAAACUAAUUUAUUUAUUUUCUCGUGAAAUUCUACAGGUGCAACGUGUGUGUCAAUUUGUCCAAUAUUAGAGAUAAUGUAUAUGACUUGCAUUUCACAUUCAAUGGAAAUUGAGCCAGAUGAAACUUCAACCCAACAAGGAAACUCUUGAAGUUGCAAAUUAUUUAUAUUUCUAGCUUGUGAAAAUAGUUAGUAAAACAAUUAUGCUUUUAUCUCAUAGUACUUAAUUUUUGAAAAUGUUCAUUGAGCCCUUCAUAAUAAAUGUGAUGUAUUUACUAAAGAUCCUCUUAUAGUGCUAAAUGAUUUGUAUAAUAUAAAGACUA